Molecule: ribosomal RNA, 253 nt
Filed under: uncultured bacterium
Lineage: Bacteria
Description: partial 16S ribosomal RNA
Rfam family: Bacterial small subunit ribosomal RNA
Source: RNAcentral
UACGAGGGGGGCGAGCGUUGUUCGGAAUUAUUGGGCGUAAAGGGUGCGUAGGUGGUCCGUUAAGUCAGUUGUGAAAUCCCCGGGCUCAACCCGGGAACUGCUUCUGAUACUGGCGGACUUGAGGCCAGUAGGGGUCACUAGAACUGACGGUGGAGCGGUGAAAUGCGUAGAUAUCGUCAGGAAUGCCGGUGGUGAAGACGGGUGACUGGGCUGGUUCUGACACUGAGGCACGAAAGCGUGGGGAGCGAACGGG